RNAcentral lists this ribosomal RNA (465 nucleotides) under uncultured Klebsiella sp. RNAcentral's name for it is "bacterial SSU rRNA". It matches the Rfam family "Bacterial small subunit ribosomal RNA", at positions 338 to 795 of the family's 1533-position model. Lineage: Bacteria; Pseudomonadati; Pseudomonadota; Gammaproteobacteria; Enterobacterales; Enterobacteriaceae. The record is from RNAcentral.
CCUACGGGAGGCAGCAGUGGGGAAUAUUGCACAAUGGGCGCAAGCCUGAUGCAGCCAUGCCGCGUGUGUGAAGAAGGCCUUCGGGUUGUAAAGCACUUUCAGCGGGGAGGAAGGCGUUAAGGUUUAUAACCUUGUCGAUUGACGUUACCCGCAGAAGAAGCACCGGCUAACUCCGUGCCAGCAGCCGCGGUAAUACGGAGGGUGCAAGCGUUAAUCGGAAUUACUGGGCGUAAAGCGCACGCAGGCGGUCUGUCAAGUCGGAUGUGAAAUCCCCGGGCUCAACCUGGGAACUGCAUUCGAAACUGGCAGGCUAGAGUCUUGUAGAGGGGGGUAGAAUUCCAGGUGUAGCGGGGAAAUGCGUAGAGAUCUGGAGGAAUACCGGUGGCGAAGGCGGCCCCCUGGACAAAGACUGACGCUCAGGUGCGAAAGCGUGGGGAGCAAACAGGAUUAGAUACCCGUGUAGUC